RNAcentral lists this ribosomal RNA (429 nucleotides) under Acidobacteriota bacterium. RNAcentral's name for it is "Acidobacteria bacterium partial 16S ribosomal RNA". It matches the Rfam family "Bacterial small subunit ribosomal RNA", at positions 355 to 776 of the family's 1533-position model. Lineage: Bacteria; Pseudomonadati; Acidobacteriota. The record is from RNAcentral.
UGGGGAAUUUUGGACAAUGGGGGAAACCCUGAUCCAGCCAUCCCGCGUGUGCGAUGAAGGCCUUCGGGUUGUAAAGCACUUUUGGCAGGAAAGAAACGUCAUGGGUUAAUACCCCGUGGAACUGACGGUACCUGCAGAAUAAGCACCGGCUAACUACGUGCCAGCAGCCGCGGUAAUACGUAGGGUGCAAGCGUUAAUCGGAAUUACUGGGCGUAAAGCGUGCGCAGGCGGUUCGGAAAGAAAGAUGUGAAAUCCCAGAGCUCAACUUUGGAACUGCAUUUUUAACUACCGGGCUAGAGUGUGUCAGAGGGAGGUGGAAUUCCGCGUGUAGCAGUGAAAUGCGUAGAUAUGCGGAGGAACACCGAUGGCGAAGGCAGCCUCCUGGGAUAACACUGACGCUCAUGCACGAAAGCGUGGGGAGCAAACAGG